CCUACGGGGAGCAGCAGUGAGGAAUAUUGGUCAAUGGCCGCAGGGCUGAACCAGCCAAGUCGCGUGAGGGAUGACGGUCCUAUGGAUUGUAAACCUCUUUUGUCAGGGAGCAAAGGGCGCCACGUGUGGCGCUUUGCGAGUACCUGAAGAAAAAGCAUCGGCUAACUCCGUGCCAGCAGCCGCGGUAAUACGGAGGAUGCGAGCGUUAUCCGGAUUUAUUGGGUUUAAAGGGUGCGCAGGCGGAAUGUCAAGUCAGCGGUAAAAUUUCGGGGCUCAACCCCGUCGUGCCGUUGAAACUGGCGUUCUUGAGUGAGCGAGAAGUAUGCGGAAUGCGUGGUGUAGCGGUGAAAUGCAUAGAUAUCACGCAGAACUCCGAUUGCGAAGGCAGCAUACCGGCGCUCAACUGACGCUCAUGCACGAAAGCGUGGGUAUCGAACAGGAUUAGAUACCCCAGUAGUC
Molecule: ribosomal RNA, 459 nt
Filed under: uncultured bacterium
Lineage: Bacteria
Description: partial 16S ribosomal RNA
Rfam family: Bacterial small subunit ribosomal RNA
Source: RNAcentral